Molecule: long non-coding RNA, 208 nt
Filed under: Nicotiana benthamiana
Lineage: Eukaryota; Viridiplantae; Streptophyta; Magnoliopsida; Solanales; Solanaceae
Description: long non-coding RNA (NBEN_LNC042169)
Source: RNAcentral
UUUUUACAAAAAAUCUACAAAUAAACUAAAAAUCAGUUUAAGUAAGUAUAAAAUAAUAUUAUUUUAAGGGUAUCUAUAAAUUACUACAUUUAUACUACGGAAAAGAGUCAGAACUGCCCCUAACGUAUUGACGCCAGUUUAAAUAUGCUCUCCGUUAAACUAUUUUUGAAAAAAAUACCCCUACCGUUAAAAUUCUGGCAUAUUUGUG